UGCAUCUGCGGCCUGUGAGGAUGAGAACCUCCGGGGGGGGGGAGGUUCGACUCGAGCGAAGCGAGAGAACGUUGCGUCAGCAACGGCCCGCAGGGCGAGCCACAGAGUGGCGAGUCAUCCUCUAUCACCGACCA
Molecule: small RNA, 134 nt
Filed under: Klebsiella quasipneumoniae subsp. similipneumoniae
Lineage: Bacteria; Pseudomonadati; Pseudomonadota; Gammaproteobacteria; Enterobacterales; Enterobacteriaceae
Also listed under: 1 other name
Description: RtT sRNA
Rfam family: RtT RNA
About the family: This family represents a bacterial cis-regulatory element known as RtT RNA. The exact function of RtT is unknown although it is thought that it may be involved in changing the cellular response in relation to amino acid starvation.
Source: RNAcentral